This 490-nucleotide ribosomal RNA is filed under the name uncultured bacterium. Its description in RNAcentral is "partial 16S ribosomal RNA". It matches the Rfam family "Bacterial small subunit ribosomal RNA", at positions 30 to 507 of the family's 1533-position model. The record is from RNAcentral.
AUUGAACGCUGGCGGCAUGCCUAACACAUGCAAGUCGAACGGUAACAGGAAACAUCUUGCUGUUUCGCUGACGAGUGGCGGACGGGUGAGUAAUGUCUGGGAAACUGCCUGAGGGAGGGGGAUAACUACUGGAAACGGUAGCUAAUACCGCAUAACGUCGCAAGACCAAAGAGGGGGACCUUCGGGCCUCUUGCCAUCGGAUGUGCCCAGAUGGGAUUAGCUAGUAGGUGGGGUAACGGCUCACCCAGGCGACGAUCCCUAGCUGGUCUGAGAGGAUGACCAGCCACACUGGAACUGAGACACGGUCCAGACUCCUACGGGAGGCAGCAGUGGGGAAUAUUGCACAAUGGGCGAAAGCCUGAUGCAGCCAUGCCGCGUGUAUGAAGAAGGCCUUCGGGUUGUAAAGUACUUUCAGCGGGGAGGAAGGGAGUAAAGUUAAUACAUUCACUCAUUGACGUUACCCGCAGAAGAAGCACCGGCUAACUCCGUG